RNAcentral lists this ribosomal RNA (484 nucleotides) under uncultured bacterium. Its description in RNAcentral is "partial 16S ribosomal RNA". It matches the Rfam family "Bacterial small subunit ribosomal RNA", at positions 28 to 523 of the family's 1533-position model. The record is from RNAcentral.
GACGAACGCUGGCGGCGUGCUUAACACAUGCAGGUCGAACGAUGAACCCGGGGCUUGCUCCGGCGGAUUAGUGGCGAACGGGUGAGUAACACGUGAGUAACCUGCCCUUGACUCUGGGAUAACUGCUAGAAAUGGUAGCUAAUACCGGAUACGACCCUCGGUGGCAUCACCAGGGGGUGGAAAGAAUUUCGGUCAAGGAUGGACUCGCGGCCUAUCAGCUAGUUGGUGAGGUAACGGCUCACCAAGGCGACGACGGGUAGCCGGCCUGAGAGGGUGACCGGCCACACUGGGACUGAGACACGGCCCAGACUCCUACGGGAGGCAGCAGUGGGGGAUAUUGCACAAUGGGCGCAAGCCUGAUGCAGCAACGCCGCGUGAGGGAUGACGGCCUUCGGGUUGUUAACCUCUUUUAGUAGGGAAGAAGCGAAAGUGACGGUACCUGCAGAAAAAGCACCGGCUAACUACGUGCCAGCCGCCGCUGUAA